CAGUCGCCGCAGCAGCACGUAGCUCAGUCACUUGCGGGGAGCGACUCUCUCCCACACCCAGCGUGGAGUGCAGGCCCAGUGUUUGCCCCGUUCGGUCGGCCCUGCAGGGGCACUGGGCGUGUGCGCGUGCGUGUGCGCGUGCGAGAGGUGCGGGGCGGGCGAGGGAGAGAGUGAGAGGGCAGGGUGGAUGGCCCCGCCGGCGCGACACAGUGCGGCGUACGGUUGACGGUGCCAUGACGCGCUCGUAAGGAUUACUUCAGCGUGCUUCGACGCCCUCGCGCUCACGAGGGCUUCCGGGGCUCCGGCAGGUAUCAUCGGCUCUGGACGAGCGUCGUCGUGCACAGGCGUGUCCACGCCGACCCUCACUCUGCCGUCAGCCUCAGGUCCGGGAGCAUCAACAGCUCUGGAGCAGCAUGGACACGUUCGGACGGUGAUACUUGGCAGUCCAUCAUCGUCCUGCACUCAUCGUGACCGCUCGGCGAGGACGGCGCCUCAGUGUCCACCAUGACGGCGGUCGUGCUCGCGGCGGCGGUGCUCGCGGUGCUGCUGCUGGGCACCCAGGAGGCCAGGGCGUUCAACCUGACCUGGGGCGAGCUGCGGGAGGCCAUGGGGCCCCGGGGCGGGGGCCGCGGCGGCCAGGGGCCCGACGACCUGGUGCCCUCCUGCGACCACUGGCACAGCCGCUACUCCAUGCGCCCUCCCAACGAGCCCUCGCUCUGCAUCACGCACGCCAACUGUACUCGUGCGUCCUGCCACCUCCUGUUCGAGCUGGACGAGGCGGUGACGGACAGGCCGACGACCGCCGUCCCGCCCCCGCUGUACAGUGAGCGGCCCAGCCAGUCCGCGGUGUGGGGAUGGGGAAUGCUCUCUGUCGGCAUCAUCUCGCUCUCUGGCAUCUUCGGCGGGCUGCUGUGGCCUCUGCUCAACAGCCGCUACUACUCGACCGUCAUGAGGUUCCUGAUCGGGCUGGCCGCUGGUUCGCUCACCGCCACCUCCAUCUUCCAGCUCAUACCGGAGAGCCUGAACCUCACUCUGGGGGGCGAACAGAGCCACCUGGACACGGGGCUCAUUAUGCUCAGCAGUAUCUGGUUCCUGUACUUCGGCGAGACGGCCUGCAAGAUAUUUUUCAGCAGCGAGGAUCCUGAUGCAGUUGCAGGCUUAGAGAAGGGGUUGGCGCUCAAGGAGAGGAAGGGCCAGGGCAACCACGCCGACGGGCACCUCCCCGAGACGGACGGGCUGAUGGCGACGACGACCGCAAAGGCCAAACAUAAGGACCACGGGCACGGCCACUCGCAUGGCGGUCAGGGCCCCGGCGGCGGGCUGGCCGCCGUGGCCUGGAUGGUGGUGCUGGGCGACGGGCUGCACAACUUCGUGGACGGCAUGAGCAUCGGCGCCGGCUACACGCAGAGCAUCGGCACGGGCGUGUCCAUCAGCCUGGCCAUUGCGUGCGAGGAGUUCCCCCACGAGCUGGGCGACUUCGCCAUCCUCAUCAACUCGGGCGUCUCCUUCAAGCGCGCGCUCGCGCUCAACUUCGCCUCGGCCUGCACGGCCUUCGGCGGCCUCGUGCUCGGCGUGCUCAUCGGCGAGGUGGAGUACUCGUACCUCAUCUUCGCCUUCGCGGGCGGCCUGUUCCUCUACAUCGCGCUCGGCAGCCUGACUCCCGAGCUGAAGACUAUGGUUGAGGAGGAGCUGAGCACCAAAGGCAGAAAAACAGCUAGCCUCGCCCUUUUCUUGCAAUUGCUUGGCGUUUCUUUUGGAGCAACAGCUCUGUACCUAAUAACCAGGUACAACGACAGUAUACGCGUGUAACGUUACUUCAUGUCUACACUGCCAUUUGAAGUGGCCAACAGAAGACUUGCACGUGUAAUAAUAAAUUUCAUACACUUGCAAGUGUUUUCCAGUUGAACACUUAAAAUGACUCUGUUUGUAAAUAUGUAAUGUCUUUAUUUACCAGGUUAAAGAAAAAAUCGCAAAAAUAGACAAAACAUGAAAUUAAGGCGUGAAGUACACAAAAAUUCCUAAUGUA
RNA transcript from Frankliniella occidentalis (western flower thrips), 2026 nucleotides. It is a transcript of the gene named metal cation symporter ZIP8-like, with no coding region annotated. The record is from RefSeq and is a predicted model, not a curated record. Lineage: Eukaryota; Metazoa; Arthropoda; Insecta; Thysanoptera; Thripidae. The transcript is spliced from 12 exons.